AGUGAACGCUGGCGGUAGGCCUAACACAUGCAAGUCGAACGGCAGCACAGUAAGAGCUUGCUCUUACGGGUGGCGAGUGGCGGACGGGUGAGGAAUACAUCGGAAUCUACUUUUUUGUGGGGGAUAACGUAGGGAAACUUACGCUAAUACCGCAUACGACCUACGGGUGAAAGCAGGGGAUCUUCGGACCUUGCGCGAUUGAAUGAGCCGAUGUCGGAUUAGCUAGUUGGCGGGGUAAGGUCCCACCAAGGCGACGAUCCGUAGCUGGUCUGAGAGGAUGAUCAGCCACACUGGAACUGAGACACGGUCCAGACUCCUACGGGAGGCAGCAGUGGGGAAUAUUGGACAAUGGGCGCAAGCCUGAUCCAGCCAUACCGCGUGGGUGAAGAAGGCCUUCGGGUUGUAAAGCCCUUUUGUUGGGAAAGAAAAGCAGCAGGUUAAUACCCCGCUGUUCUGACGGUACCCAAAGAAUAAGCACCGGCUAACUUCGUG
RNAcentral lists this ribosomal RNA (492 nucleotides) under uncultured bacterium. RNAcentral describes it as "partial 16S ribosomal RNA". It matches the Rfam family "Bacterial small subunit ribosomal RNA", at positions 29 to 507 of the family's 1533-position model. The record is from RNAcentral.